RNAcentral lists this ribosomal RNA (505 nucleotides) under uncultured bacterium. RNAcentral's name for it is "partial 16S ribosomal RNA". It matches the Rfam family "Bacterial small subunit ribosomal RNA", at positions 28 to 507 of the family's 1533-position model. The record is from RNAcentral.
GACGAACGCUGGCGGCGUGCCUAAUACAUGCAAGUAGAACGCACAGUUUAUACCGUAGCUUGCUACACCAUAGACUGUGAGUUGCGAACGGGUGAGUAACGCGUAGGUAACCUGCCUGGUAGCGGGGGAUAACUACUGGAAACGAUAGCUAAUACCGCAUAAUAUUGAUUAUUGCAUGAUAAUUGAUUGAAAGAUGCUAUUGCAUCACUACCAGAUGGACCUGCCUUGUAUUAGCUAGUAGGUGAGGUAACGGCUCACCUAGGCGACGAUACAUAGCCGACCUGAGAGGGUGAUCGGCCACACUGGGACUGAGACACGGCCCAGACUCCUACGGGAGGCAGCAGUAGGGAAUCUUCGGCAAUGGACGAAAGUCUGACCGAGCAACGCCGCGUGAGUGAAGAAGGUUUUCGGAUCGUAAAGCUCUGUUGUAAGAGAAGAACGGGUGUGAGAGUGGAAAGUUCACACUGUGACGGUAUCUUACCAGAAAGGGACGGCUAACUACGUG